Molecule: RNA transcript, 1954 nt
Organism: Eucalyptus grandis
Lineage: Eukaryota; Viridiplantae; Streptophyta; Magnoliopsida; Myrtales; Myrtaceae
Gene name: S-adenosylmethionine carrier 1, chloroplastic/mitochondrial
Exons: 11
Source: RefSeq, a predicted model, not a curated record
GCUGACCUAGAGCCCAAAUUUGACCCGAUUCCACGGGCCGACCAGAGGCGACCCGACCCGAAGCAAAGCUGGGACAAAGCCGAAGGGAUCGAAAGGCUCCUCCUUGAUCAGCUGCUGCUGCUUCCCGCUUCAUUUCAAGCUCGCGAUCACAGCGUCGUUCCACUUCAAUCCGUCUCGUGUCGAGCUCGAGCUCGGAAAGGGAGGGCAGCCCAGCGGAUUCAUGGAUUCUUCCGACGCCAAAAGCUCAGCGAAGGCGGCCGCUGCCAAACCCGAUGGGGUGGACCGCGAUUUGGGUGGAUACGGGAAAAGGAAGCCUUUCCAAGUUAGCGUCCGGGAUGACCGGCCUUUGGAUUUUUGGCGAAUAGUGUGUGAGGGCGUUGUUGCUGGAGGUACUGCUGGUGUCGUUGUUGAAGCAGCACUUUACCCAAUUGACACCAUCAAAACUAGACUUCAGGCAGCUCAUGGCGGUGGAAAAAUUGCAUUGAGGGGCCUUUACUCUGGCCUGGCUGGGAAUCUUGCUGGUGUUUUACCGGCUUCUGCAAUAUUCGUUGGUGUCUAUGAACCAACAAAACAGAAAUUGCUAAGAGCCUUUCCAGAUAACUUAAGUGCGCUUGCUCAUUUGACUGCAGGUGCACUUGGGGGGCUUGCUUCUUCUCUUGUUCGUGUACCCACUGAGGUGGUUAAACAAAGAAUGCAGACUCGGGAAUUUGCUUCUGCCCCUAGUGCUGUCCGUCUCAUUAUUGCCAGAGAGGGUUUUAGGGGCCUUUACGCAGGAUACGGGUCCUUUUUAUUGCGAGAUUUGCCAUUUGACGCCGUUCAGUUUUGCAUUUAUGAGCAGCUUCGCAUAGGCUACAGGAUUGUGGCCAGGAGAGAAUUGAAAGAUCAUGAAAAUGCUAUGAUUGGUGCUUUUGCUGGUAAAGUUUAUGCCUGUGCUUUCUUUUCUUUUCUUUUUGAUGAAAUACCUGAUAUUCUUGGCUAUCAAUCAAGGUUAUAUCUUUUUUGUUCUCAUAGACUGGGUUGCAAUCUGGCUGACUAUUUUAUUUGAAAAGUUUGAUCUUAGAGUUAAGCUACACAUGUAGAAUGCAAGUGCAAACUAUUGUCAUGGUAAAAAAUAAAAUAGCAGUAACCUAUGCCUUCAUGUUGAAUUGCAGAUGUACAACCCUUAAUCAAGGUUAUCAACAGAUAACCAAUGGCCUAUAUUGUUACUAACUGAAAAUGUAGAACUUUUGGCUGUUGAUAAGUGGUUGAUGUUGCUUACCAUCAAAAACCAGAUCGAUUUAAAGAGAGAUACAUGUAAAAGAUUAAAAUGAUGAAACCUCUAUACUGUAUGUAAGUAGUAAUGUCUUGUGAACUGGAGGGAUGGAAAAAAAAUUUACUCCCUCCAUAGAGUUCAGAAUUUCUGUGACAUAAGGGAAUACACCAAAAUUAGAAUUACCAUCUAUUAGGUUUAUACUUGACUAUAGUUUUUGUAGGGGUACUGCAUCUGCUCUAGAUACUGCUACUUAUUUGAUUUAUAUCAACGGUCUAAAAUUCAGAUAUUCUGUCGGAGCUCCAAUCCAUCUGUGAUGCAUGACUAGCUGUUACUGUAAUCACUGUAAUCACUGUCCUAAAAUAUCCUAACACCUGGCAAAGAAUUUGUCAUUUACUUUCAGUAGAAAUGUACUGCUACUUUGUUUUAUAACACCUCCUCUUGGUUUCAGUUCCAAUGAGGCAACCUUGUUGGUAAAAUUCAUGUCCGUCCUAUUAGCUGAGAGGCUAACCACAAUAUGAAGAUAUCUUAGUUCGUAAACAGCAUCGAUUGGGGCCUGCCCAUUAUGGAGUGCGAUUACUGGAGCCAUAACAACUCCUCUUGAUGUGAUAAAGACUAGAUUGAUGAUUCAGGGAGCAACAAAACAGUAUAGAAGUAUUUCCCAUUGUGUCAAGAACAUUAUCCAAGAAGAAGGACCUGCUGCUC